CAAUUUGAGAGUUUGAUCCUGGCUCAGAACGAACGCUGGCGGCAGGCUUAACACAUGCAAGUCGAACGCGAACGCACCUUCGGGUGUUAGUAGAGUGGCAGACGGGUGAGUAACGCGUGGGAACCUACCUAGGGGUACGGAAUAACGCAGGGAAACUUGUGCUAAUACCGUAUACGUCCUUCGGGAGAAAGAUUUAUCGCCCCUAGAUGGGCCCGCGUUGGAUUAGCUUGUUGGUGAGGUAAUGGCUCACCAAGGCUACGAUCCAUAGCUGGUCUGAGAGGAUGAUCAGCCACACUGGGACUGAGACACGGCCCAGACU
RNAcentral lists this non-coding RNA (319 nucleotides) under Tepidicaulis marinus. RNAcentral's name for it is "Bacterial small subunit ribosomal RNA". It matches the Rfam family "Bacterial small subunit ribosomal RNA", at positions 1 to 337 of the family's 1533-position model. The record is from Rfam by way of RNAcentral. Lineage: Bacteria; Pseudomonadati; Pseudomonadota; Alphaproteobacteria; Hyphomicrobiales; Parvibaculaceae.